AUUGAACGCUGGCGGCAUGCUUUACACAUGCAAGUCGAACGGUAACAGGCCUUCGGGUGCUGACGAGUGGCGAACGGGUGCGUAAUGCAUCGGAACGUACCCAGAGGUGGGGGAUAACGCAGCGAAAGCUGUGCUAAUACCGCAUGUGAUCUGAGGAUGAAAGCGGGGGACCGAGCAGCAAUGUUUGGCCUCGCGCCUUUGGAGCGGCCGAUGUCGGAGUAGCUAGUUGGUGGGGUAAAGGCCUACCAAGGCGACGAUCCGUAGCUGGUCUGAGAGGACGACCAGCCACACUGGGACUGAGACACGGCCCAGACUCCUACGGGAGGCAGCAGUGGGGAAUUUUGGACAAUGGGCGCAAGCCUGAUCCAGCAAUGCCGCGUGCGGGAAGAAGGCCUUCGGGUUGUAAACCGCUUUUGGCAGGAACGAAACGGUGUCCGCUAAUACCGGGCGCUAAUGACGGUACCUGCAGAAUAAGCACCGGCUAACUACGUG
This 492-nucleotide ribosomal RNA is filed under the name uncultured bacterium. RNAcentral's name for it is "partial 16S ribosomal RNA". It matches the Rfam family "Bacterial small subunit ribosomal RNA", at positions 29 to 507 of the family's 1533-position model. The record is from RNAcentral.